RNAcentral lists this ribosomal RNA (520 nucleotides) under uncultured Glomus. Its description in RNAcentral is "SSU rRNA". It matches the Rfam family "Eukaryotic small subunit ribosomal RNA", at positions 569 to 1092 of the family's 1831-position model. The record is from RNAcentral. Lineage: Eukaryota; Fungi; Glomeromycota; Glomeromycetes; Glomerales; Glomeraceae.
AGCAGCCGCGGUAAUUCCAGCUCCAAUAGCGUAUAUUAAAGUUGUUGCAGUUAAAAAGCUCGUAGUUGAAUUUCGGGAUUAGUACGUUGGUCGUGCCUUAGGUACGUACUGGUGUUACUGGUUCCUACCUUCUGACGAACCAUCAUGUCAUUAAUUUGGUGUGGCGGGGAAUCAGGACUGUUACUUUGAAAAAAUUAGAGUGUUUAAAGCGGGCUCGCGCUUGAAUACAUUAGCAUGGAAUAAUGAAAUAGGACGUUGACCCUAUUUUGUUGGUUUCUAGGAUUGACGUAAUGAUUAAUAGGGAUAGUUGGGGGCAUUAGUAUUCAAUUGUCAGAGGUGAAAUUCUUGGAUUUAUUGAAGACUAACUACUGCGAAAGCAUUUGCCAAGGAUGUUUUCAUUAAUCAAGAACGAAAGUUAGGGGAUCGAAGACGAUCAGAUACCGUCGUAGUCUUAACCAUAAACUAUGCCGACUAGGGAUCGGAUGAUGUUAAUUUUUAAUGACUCAUUCGGCGCCUUACG